UUUGGUCCCAGUCGGGAUGUGUAUGAGAGACAACAGACCAAUGUUUCUCUCUCACAUUGAUAUUCUGACUCUGCCCCCUCCCCCCCUCUAAAAGUAAAUACAGAAGACCUUUAAAAAUAAGGAGUUAGCAGAUAAGAGUCAGUAAGAUUGUGGCAUAGACAGAGUGAGGGAUGGGCAGAAGCAGCUGCAUGCCAAGAUAAGGUGUUUGUAUUCCAUCUUGAACAUGCUGGGGAGCUGUCAGGCAUUUUAUGAUUACAAGUAAUAGGAUGUGAUUUAACAUUUAAGAUUUUUGCUGGCAAUCAUGAGAGGAUGAAUUAUGGGGGAUCACACUGUUGGAAGGCCAUUGCCCUAACUCACCUGAUGAGACCUCGAGUCUCUGUGGAGGGAACAAGCCUCCAGCAUUGGGAGUCGACCUCUAGUGGUAGUUCCUUAAACUUCAGGUGGAAACACAGGUCUGCAGAAGAGCUGAACCUGACUUUGGAUUCAUUUGCUAGGCCCAAGGUGGCUCAGAGGUGAGGCUUUGGUUUGGUGGUGUCAGGCACAGCAUGCACUACCCUCAGGUUCCCUUUUUUUGUUUAGCAGGUGGCCAAUAAAAAUUACUAGAACUUUGAAAAAAAUCAAUGUUUUAAGGAAGUUUGUGGUAAUUAUUAGGGCAUCCCUAGAAAAUGAACACAGAAGGGUUCUUAUAGAGUAAAUUAGUGAACACAGGUGAAGCACUUAGGAAAUUGACACAGAGUGUUUUCUAAGUGUGUGCUUUCAGUGACCCCGAGUUACAUGACUGGUAAAUAAUGGGGCCAGUUAAACUCAGACCGUCAUGCAAUACUAACUUUGCAAAAUGGGAAAUAUCUGUAUCUCAAUAAAA
Phyllostomus discolor (pale spear-nosed bat) is the source of this 862-nucleotide long non-coding RNA. RefSeq lists it as uncharacterized. The record is from RefSeq and is a predicted model, not a curated record. The transcript has 2 exons. Lineage: Eukaryota; Metazoa; Chordata; Mammalia; Chiroptera; Phyllostomidae.